GAAUGUUUACCAGUUCAAACUCACGUAAGAGUCUGCUAGCUAUCACAAAGUACAUAAUUAGAUCUUCUUUAACACAUAUGUAUUCCUUUGUGAUUUGUUUUAUUACUAACUCUGAGUCUCCCAUUAUUUCGACUCGAGUUGCCCCCAAUUCCAACAAGAUCUCAAGGUCGGCUAUCAAAGCCUCAUUGUUCGAACAAAGGCCUUCGACCUUGUACUUAAAUUUUGUUGGAAUUUUGUUAGGAGAAAUAAU
Molecule: long non-coding RNA, 250 nt
Filed under: Lathyrus oleraceus (garden pea)
Lineage: Eukaryota; Viridiplantae; Streptophyta; Magnoliopsida; Fabales; Fabaceae
Description: Pisum sativum (pea) long non-coding RNA (PSAT_LNC027484)
Source: RNAcentral